CAGAGUACCAAUUGGAGGGCAAGUCUGGUGCCAGCAGCCGCGGUAAUUCCAGCUCCAAUAGCGUAUAUUAAACUUGUUGCAGUUAAAAAGCUCGUAGUUGAAUUUCAGCGUUUCGCGUGUGCCUCUUUUGGCCCAUCUCGUCUCGCUUUUUUUAUUACUUUGAGAAAAUUAGAGUGUUUCAAGCAGGCUUUUGUCUUGAAUACUUGAGCAUGGAAUAAUAGAGUAGGACCUUGGUUCUAUUUUGUUGGUUUUGUUACCUUGGUAAUGGUUAAUAGGAACGGUUGGGGGCAUUCGUAUUUAACUGUCAGAGGUGAAAUUCUUAGAUUUGUUAAAGACGAACUACUGCGAAAGCAUUUGCCAAGGACGUUUCCAUUAAUCAAGAACGAAAGUUAGGGGAUCGAAGACGAUCAGAUACCGUCGUAGUCCUAACCAUAAA
This 436-nucleotide ribosomal RNA is filed under the name Babesia occultans. RNAcentral's name for it is "SSU rRNA". It matches the Rfam family "Eukaryotic small subunit ribosomal RNA", at positions 537 to 1036 of the family's 1831-position model. The record is from RNAcentral. Lineage: Eukaryota; Apicomplexa; Aconoidasida; Piroplasmida; Babesiidae.